UACAGAGGGUGCGAGCGUUGUCCGGAAUCACUGGGCGUAAAGGGCGCGUAGGCGGUUUCUCACGCGUGCGGUGAAAGCCCGGGGCUCAACUCCGGGUCUGCCGUGCGAACGGAGAGGCUAGAGUCUGGUAGAGGUCGAUGGAAUUCCGGGUGUAGCGGUGGAAUGCGUAGAGAUCCGGAAGAACACCGGUGGCGAAGGCGGUCGACUGGGCCAGUACUGACGCUGAGGCGCGACAGCGUGGGGAGCAAAC
RNAcentral lists this ribosomal RNA (250 nucleotides) under uncultured bacterium. Its description in RNAcentral is "partial 16S ribosomal RNA". It matches the Rfam family "Bacterial small subunit ribosomal RNA", at positions 524 to 773 of the family's 1533-position model. The record is from RNAcentral.